AAGAAGCUAUGAGAUUGCUGUAGGGCUGUCGUCCAAACUGAACACCUGAUGCAAGGAGGCCUUGUUACUCUCUGACAGUUCUUUGUUUGGCAUGAGUGAACUAGAACUCAAUGACCAACAAGAUGCCCACAGUAAGGGUCUGUGCUCUGAUGAGACGGGCUGCAAUCAAGCUUUUGAUGAGGUCUGCAAUGUCCAGAUUGCCACCAUUGCCACCGUGAUCUCUCAUCUUCCCAGACACAGCAACAUGGCCACCAUCAUGGACUGUGGACAAAGCAAGGGACUUUAUGUUUCUGGUGCAGAAGAUCCCACUGCAUGCCAGAUUUGUGUCUCCUGCCAAAAGAAUUUGUAACUCCU
Molecule: long non-coding RNA, 354 nt
Organism: Symphalangus syndactylus (siamang)
Lineage: Eukaryota; Metazoa; Chordata; Mammalia; Primates; Hylobatidae
Source: RefSeq, a predicted model, not a curated record